Molecule: ribosomal RNA, 408 nt
Filed under: uncultured bacterium
Lineage: Bacteria
Description: partial 16S ribosomal RNA
Rfam family: Bacterial small subunit ribosomal RNA
Source: RNAcentral
GACGAACGCUGGCGGCGUGCUUAACACAUGCAAGUCGAACGAAGUGGCGGACGGGUGAGUAACGCUUAAUCACCCUGCCCUUGAGGGGGGGAUAACAGUUGAAAACGACUGCUAAUACCGCAUACGGAUGGCGGGGAGUGGGGGUGAUGAGCUAGUUGGGGGGGUAACGGCCCACCAAGGCGAUGAUCAGUAGCCGGUCUUGGGGGAUGGACUGCCAACUCGGGACGUGAGCAAGGCCCAGAAUCCUACGGGAGGCAGCAGUGGGGAAUCUUCCGCAAUGGACGAAAGUCUGACUGAGCAACGGCGCGUGAGUUAUGACGGCCUUCGGGUUGGAAAGGUAUGUUAAUCGGGACGCGGUACCGGAAUAGAAAGCCACGGCUAACUACGUGCCAGCAGCCGCGGUAAUAC